This 253-nucleotide ribosomal RNA is filed under the name uncultured bacterium. RNAcentral's name for it is "partial 16S ribosomal RNA". It matches the Rfam family "Bacterial small subunit ribosomal RNA", at positions 524 to 776 of the family's 1533-position model. The record is from RNAcentral.
UACGAAGGGGGCUAGCGUUGCUCGGAAUCACUGGGCGUAAAGGGUGCGUAGGCGGGUCUUUAAGUCAGGGGUGAAAUCCUGGAGCUCAACUCCGGAACUGCCUUUGAUACUGAGGAUCUUGAGUUCGGGAGAGGUGAGUGGAACUGCGAGUGUAGAGGUGAAAUUCGUAGAUAUUCGCAAGAACACCAGUGGCGAAGGCGGCCAACUGGUCCGGUACUGACGCUGAGGUGCGAAAGCGUGGGGAGCAAACAGG